This 446-nucleotide ribosomal RNA is filed under the name uncultured bacterium. Its description in RNAcentral is "partial 16S ribosomal RNA". It matches the Rfam family "Bacterial small subunit ribosomal RNA", at positions 338 to 795 of the family's 1533-position model. The record is from RNAcentral.
CCUACGGGUGGCAGCAGUCGAGAAUCAUUCACAAUGGGGGAAACCCUGAUGGUGCGACGCCGCGUGGGGGAAUGAAGGUCUUCGGUUUGUAAACCCCUGUCAUGUGGGAGCAAAUUAAAAAGAUAGUACCACAAGAGGAAGAGACGGCUAACUCUGUGCCAGCAGCCGCGGUAAUACAGAGGUCUCAAGCGUUGUUCGGAAUCACUGGGCGUAAAGCGUGCGUAGGCUGUUUCGUAAGUCGUGUGUGAAAGGCGCGGGCUCAACCCGAGGACGGCACAUGAUACUGCGAGACUAGAGUAAGGGAGGGGGAGGCGGAAUUCUCGGUGUAGGAGUGAAAUGCGUAGAUAUCGAGAAGAACACUCGUGGCGAAGGCGGGUUCCUGGACAUUAACUGACGCUGAGGCACGAAGGCCAGGGGAGCGAAAGGGAUUAGAUACCCCAGUAGUC